GACAGGUUUUUCUCUUAGACUUUUCAACUACUUCUCUUAUUGCUGGACCACUCAGGUUUAUCAUAUUUUCUCUACACCAGGCACCAACUGACCCCAUGGAGGCCAGCCAUAUGCCAUCGAUAUGAAAGGAUUUGAAAAGCUCCGCCUUUGGUAGCAAGAGCACCAACGGAACCUGAACAG
This is a non-coding RNA of Meleagris gallopavo (turkey), 180 nucleotides long. The record is from RefSeq and is a predicted model, not a curated record. Lineage: Eukaryota; Metazoa; Chordata; Aves; Galliformes; Phasianidae.